Long non-coding RNA from Daphnia pulicaria, 541 nucleotides. RefSeq lists it as uncharacterized. Lineage: Eukaryota; Metazoa; Arthropoda; Branchiopoda; Diplostraca; Daphniidae. The transcript is spliced from 4 exons. The record is from RefSeq and is a predicted model, not a curated record.
AUUGGCUUCUUAUCUCCUUGAGGUGCGGCGAGGGCCACAGCCAAGAAAGCGACAGCGACGAUCUGGCAGUGCAUCAAGUCAAAAUAAAAGGUUGUCAAGCUGCUCUUCUGAAGACAGUUGAAGGAAUUGUGUGAAGAAGAUUGCGUGUUGGCCACCUUUUAUACCUCGCAGCAGUUGCGGCUGAGUGAAAGUGAUAGGCCAAGACCUUCCGCAGGAAACAUUCUCUUCUCUUCUUCUUCGGGGAUGGACAUUUGAAAGAAAAGUUGUCGGAAAUGUGGCAAAAAUGCACCUGAAAAACCACGUCAUCAUAUUUUCGCGCCUUUGGAUAAGGGGUGCCAAUUCAACCCUCCUGUAUGCAUCGUGUCAAGUUUGUUAUGUGUUGUCGUCAUCGUGCACGGACAAUGUCGUUGACGAAUGGGUUCCCCGAGUACGCUGAGCCACAAAACAAAAGCUGAGGCUUCCCUACUCCACUCCAUCAAGCUGCAAUGCAUUGGGGUUUCGAAUUUUUGUUUUCGGAUGUUCUAACUUAUUGUAACAGGGU